RNAcentral lists this long non-coding RNA (804 nucleotides) under Urocitellus parryii (Arctic ground squirrel). Its description in RNAcentral is "lncRNA (ENSUPAG00010006393.1)". The record is from RNAcentral. Lineage: Eukaryota; Metazoa; Chordata; Mammalia; Rodentia; Sciuridae.
GUGCGGGGUGCUUGGGGCCCGUCGGGGCGGGGCUUUGCGGGGAGAGCAGGGGGGCGGAAAUGCGAGACGCGCCUUCGGUGGCGGAGGCCGGCCGGUGUCCACGGCAGGGCUAGACAGGUCCUCUCCCGUCCACGGGGCGGAAACGAGGGURGGGCGGGACGGGACGUGUUCAGUGCCUGGGGCCAGUCUGCUCCAGGCUUCCGGGAAGGGCGGGGUCAGACUGUCCGGAAGUGGCCGGGGCGGGCGGAGGUGCCCGGCGGGGGCGGGGGGGCCAUGGCUGGCCAGAGGUGGGCCCCGCCCCGGGCGAGCCUAGUAGGGGGCGGAGCAGCGUGUCUGCGAUCCGGUUGCAGCUGGGGCAGAGGUCUGUGGGCAGCCAGAAGCUGCUGUACGUGCCUCUUCCCAGGCAGCCCAGCCCGACGGAGACUCAGGGCCCCGGGAUCUGUCCAGCUGGGGCCAAGACCUGGUGUGCCCCUCUCGGGAUUCAUGAUGGAACACAUCCUGACCUGGGCUUGCUGCUCAUUUAAUGAGUAACUGAGUGUUUUUCACAUUUGGCAGAGAUGAUUGUCUCCUAUUCUUUUCCUGAGGUGUCUUGUCUUCUUUGGGCGACAGGAAAAUGUUGAACUGGCUAGUGUGACAUGUUAAAUAAUCAUGUUUACUAACAUUUUUGUUUCGAAUAAGUAUGCUGUGGAAAACUGAUUCAUGAGACAUACCUUAAUGUAAUUGCAUACUUUUAGCACAUUAAGUACAAUAUUUAGUAUAAUUGUAAAAAAGCAUGAUUUCUGAAUAAAUGUUAACUGUUAUACA